This is a non-coding RNA of Neolamprologus brichardi, 138 nucleotides long. Lineage: Eukaryota; Metazoa; Chordata; Actinopteri; Cichliformes; Cichlidae. The record is from RefSeq and is a predicted model, not a curated record.
AGGUGAAAUGCAAGAUGUUACAUACUCUGUAAUUCAGCUUAAACAUGUUGGAAAAAAGAGGAAGCAUCAUAAAUCACAGGAGCAUACUAUUUACUCAGAGGUGAAGGUGGGAGUUGAAGAAGACAUUCCAACAUAUGC